This 359-nucleotide ribosomal RNA is filed under the name Heterosigma akashiwo. RNAcentral's name for it is "partial Bacterial large subunit ribosomal RNA". It matches the Rfam family "Bacterial large subunit ribosomal RNA", at positions 1292 to 1694 of the family's 2925-position model. Lineage: Eukaryota; Raphidophyceae; Chattonellales; Chattonellaceae. The record is from RNAcentral.
GAAUGCUGACAUGAGUAACGACAAUGCGGGUGAAAAACCCGCACGCCGGAAGACCAAGGGUUCCUGCGCAACGCUAAUCGGCGCAGGGUGAGUCGGCCCCUAAGGCGAGACCGAAAGGUGUAGUCGAUGGGAAACGGGUUAAUAUUCCCGUACCUGCUAUACAAUAAAAGCGACGGAGUAGUGUAGGUAGUGCGUACUGACGGAAUAGUACGUUGAAGCGAGUAGUAAUACCGCGAUAGUACACUGCGACUACGGUCAAGGUGAUAAUCUAGCAAAUCGACUUCCAAGAAAAGCGAAUGAAGCAGCCCGUACCCUAAACCGACACAGGUAGUUGGGAUGAGAAUUCUAAGGAGCUCGAG